Molecule: long non-coding RNA, 391 nt
Organism: Sinocyclocheilus grahami
Lineage: Eukaryota; Metazoa; Chordata; Actinopteri; Cypriniformes; Cyprinidae
Exons: 3
Source: RefSeq, a predicted model, not a curated record
AGCGAUUGACUCCGUCUCUGGUGGUCUUCUUUCAGGUCCUGGGAGAGUUCCCGUGAAGUCAAACACAAAGAAGUUCACCAUCAAAGACUUCGACAUCGGCCGUCCGCUCGGGAAGGGGAAGUUUGGUAACGUGUAUCUGGCGCGUGAGCGGAAGCUGAAGGUGAUUGUGGCUCUGAAGGUGCUCUUUAAGUCUCAGAUGGAGAAGGAAGGCGUGGAGCAUCAGCUGCGGAGAGAGAUCGAGAUCCAGUCUCACCUCAGGCAUCCGAACAUCCUGCGCUUCUACAACUACUUCCAGGACGACACGCGUGUGUUUCUGGUUCUGGAGUUCGCUCCGCGGGGAGAGAUGUACAAAGAGCUGCAGCGCUGCGGACGCUUCGACGAUCAGCGCACC